Molecule: small RNA, 1265 nt
Filed under: Pan troglodytes (chimpanzee)
Lineage: Eukaryota; Metazoa; Chordata; Mammalia; Primates; Hominidae
Description: retained intron
Source: RNAcentral
CGGGGACGGGCAUUGUACUCAGCUCCCAGCACGCCCAUCUUCAAAGUCCUGUAGGAGUAAGCUGGGGCAUCUUAAGGGCAGGAGAGGCUGACUUUGCCUCUUACCCCAGGAUCUGUUCUCCUCACAGACGGGUUAGCAGUGUUCCAAGCCUUCCUUCGCACUGAGUUCAGCGAGGAGAAUCUGGAGUUCUGGUUGGCUUGUGAGGACUUCAAGAAGGUCAAGUCACAGUCCAAGAUGGCAUCCAAGGCCAAGAAGAUCUUUGCUGAAUACAUCGCGAUCCAGGCAUGCAAGGAGGUCAACCUGGAUUCCUACACGCGGGAGCACACCAAGGACAACCUGCAGAGCGUCACGCGGGGCUGCUUCGACCUGGCACAGAAGCGCAUCUUCGGGCUCAUGGAAAAGGACUCGUACCCUCGCUUUCUCCGUUCUGACCUCUACCUGGACCUUAUUAACCAGAAGAAGAUGAGUCCCCCGCUUUAGGGGCCACUGGAGUCGAGCUCAGCGUUCACACCAGGCGGGCUGGGUCCCCUGCCCACCUGCCUCCCUCCCCCCUGUGACGGAGGGGGCAAGCAAGCCCCCAGAGGCUGUGUCUCUGGACAGAUGGAUAGACAUACGGAAGCGAGGCCUGGACCAAGAGAGGCCCAGGCUACUGGAGGAGUAGAAGGAUGGGCCCCGUGGGGUCCCCACUGCCCCGGUACGAGGGGGCCCAAGACCCUGGCAGGUCAGGGGCCCUGGCCAAGCCAGAUCUGGAGCUGCUGCUCCCUGCUGCGGAGACCGCGGAGGCUUCGCGUUGACCAAGUUCCUUAAAGAACUGGCUGAUGGGGCAGGAGGUCCAGGCCUGGGCUCUCGGGCCCUCCUAGAGGACCAUUGGAGCUUGCAGCUCAGACCCCCACUUUGAGUUUUAUUUAUUUAAAUAGUAGUUGGAUGCUUGGCACGUCGUCCUGUAAUAGGAAACCCUUGCCUCAUCAGUUUUCCUGAUUUACAAGUGCAAUAUUUUAGCCAAUGCCUUGGGAGAAGCUGCCAUGCAAAGGUGGACACCAUUCUCCAGCUUCAGGGGAUAUGCUCGUCCCGGGCACCGGUGGCAGGCAGCUGGCCUUCUGGACUAAGGCAGCCUGGGGGGACACUGCAGUCUGGCUGCACACAGAGAUCUGGCACCCCCUGGGUGGAGUGUCCCUCGGGGGCUUUGGGAAAGCAUGGCACCCUCAGACCACACAGUAGCCGAGUUCUGGAGCAAAUAAAAGGCCUGUGUUAUUUCUUGUUCUUGA